AAUAGAUUCUUGUUUGAUCGACUCAAGACACAAAACAAAAUCUACUUAUGAACUUGAAACAAAGAAGUUACGAUGAGUUAAAAAAAUAAGAAAAGCACAUAAAUAACGAAGACACGAAAGAAACGGACUCAACAACUAAUCUACAACUAAGUAGGUGAUUACUAGUUGCUAAUUAGUAUUAGAACCAACAACGAAACUAAGGGACAAUAAAAAUGAAACUAAGAAUCUAAAAUUUUGAGCUCAAAAAUAUUGCGUGAAUAGUAGCAGUGAUGAUGUGGCAGCCAUGUAUUGGUUCGGUUUUAUCAAGUGGUUAUUCUCAAAUGUUCAAGUGUUGGUCAAAAAUUAAUUUGGAUUGAUGAAAUUUGUUUUAGGAGGGAAAAUAAGCCUUGGGGCCUUUUUCAAUUUUCAAGACAUGACUUUUUCUUGUACUUCUCCUUAAAACAUGGGUCCUUAAAUCAUAGAAAAGUGGUUGAGAAGUGAUAUAAAGUCUUUUGGUGGUUGGGGGUCUUUCAAGACUAACAAGUACAUACACCUUUUUCCUUCACCUUUUAGGAUCUAACAUUCACUUUAUGUUCUAACAAUAUAUGAAGGAAGGUGAAGAACUUCAAGAACAACAACAACCAC
Molecule: long non-coding RNA, 624 nt
Filed under: Capsicum annuum
Lineage: Eukaryota; Viridiplantae; Streptophyta; Magnoliopsida; Solanales; Solanaceae
Description: long non-coding RNA (CANN_LNC011136)
Source: RNAcentral